AGCAGCCGCGGUAAUUCCAGCUCCAAUAGCGUAUAUUAAAGUUGUUGCAGUUAAAAAAGCUCGUAGUUGAAUUUCGGGGUUAGUAGGCUGGUCAUGCCUCUGGUAUGUACUGGUCUCACUGAUUCCUCCUUCCUGAUGAACCUUAAUGCCAUUUAUUUGGUGUUUUGGGGAAUUUGGACUGUUACUUUGAAAAAAUUAGAGUGUUUAAAGCAGGCUCACGCUUGAAUACAUUAGCAUGGAAUAAUGAAAUAGGACGUUUGAUUCUAUUUUGUUGGUUUCUAGGAUCGACGUAAUGAUUAAUAGGGAUAGUUGGGGGCAUUAGUAUUCAAUUGUCAGAGGUGAAAUUCUUGGAUUUAUUGAAGACUAACUACUGCGAAAGCAUUUGCCAAGGAUGUUUUCAUUAAUCUAAGAACGAAAGUUAGGGGAUCGAAGACGAUCAGAUACCGUCGUAGUCUUAACCAUAAACUAUGCCGACUAGGGAUCGGAUGAUGUUAAUUUUUUAAUGACUCUA
RNAcentral lists this ribosomal RNA (511 nucleotides) under uncultured Glomeraceae. RNAcentral's name for it is "SSU rRNA". It matches the Rfam family "Eukaryotic small subunit ribosomal RNA", at positions 569 to 1079 of the family's 1831-position model. Lineage: Eukaryota; Fungi; Glomeromycota; Glomeromycetes; Glomerales; Glomeraceae. The record is from RNAcentral.